Molecule: transfer RNA, 25 nt
Filed under: Pseudohygrohypnum orientale
Lineage: Eukaryota; Viridiplantae; Streptophyta; Bryopsida; Hypnales; Pylaisiaceae
Also listed under: 1 other name
Description: Pseudohygrohypnum sp. VEF-2021c partial tRNA-Phe
Source: RNAcentral
GGCCGGAAUAGCUCAGUUGGUAGAG